This 258-nucleotide ribosomal RNA is filed under the name uncultured bacterium. Its description in RNAcentral is "partial 16S ribosomal RNA". It matches the Rfam family "Bacterial small subunit ribosomal RNA", at positions 524 to 783 of the family's 1533-position model. The record is from RNAcentral.
UACGUAGGGUGCAAGCGUUGUCCGGAAUUAUUGGGCGUAAAGAGCUCGUAGGCGGUUUGUCGCGUCUGCUGUGAAAACCCGAGGCUCAACCUCGGGCCUGCAGUGGGUACGGGCAGACUAGAGUGCGGUAGGGGAGAUUGGAAUUCCUGGUGUAGAGGUGAAAUUCGUAGAUAUCAAGCGGAACACCGGUGGCGAAGGCCGGCCUUCGUGGACAGUGACUGACGCUGAGACGCGAAGCGUGGGAGCAACAGGAUAGAU